GACGAACGCUGGCGGCGUGCUUAACACAUGCAAGUCGAACGGAAAGGCCCCGCUUUUGUGGGGUGCUCGAGUGGCGAACGGGUGAGUAACACGUGAGUAACCUGCCCUUGACUUUGGGAUAACUUCAGGAAACUGGGGCUAAUACCGGAUAGGAGCUCCUGCUGCAUGGUGGGGGUUGGAAAGUUUCGGCGGUUGGGGAUGGACUCGCGGCUUAUCAGCUUGUUGGUGGGGUAGUGGCUUACCAAGGCUUUGACGGGUAGCCGGCCUGAGAGGGUGACCGGCCACAUUGGGACUGAGAUACGGCCCAGACUCCUACGGGAGGCAGCAGUGGGGAAUAUUGCACAAUGGGCGGAAGCCUGAUGCAGCAACGCCGCGUGCGGGAUGACGGCCUUCGGGUUGUAAACCGCUUUCGCCUGUGACGAAGCGUGAGUGACGGUAAUGGGUAAAGAAGCGCCGGCUAACUACGUG
Molecule: ribosomal RNA, 468 nt
Filed under: uncultured bacterium
Lineage: Bacteria
Description: partial 16S ribosomal RNA
Rfam family: Bacterial small subunit ribosomal RNA
Source: RNAcentral